UCUGGUGGCCAUAGGCGCCGCGAUACACCCGAUCCCAUCCCGAACUCGGCCGUUAAGCGCGUCGCCGCUGAUGGUACUGCGUCCCAAGACGCGGGAGAGUAAGUCACCGCCAGAC
RNAcentral lists this ribosomal RNA (115 nucleotides) under Rubellimicrobium roseum. Lineage: Bacteria; Pseudomonadati; Pseudomonadota; Alphaproteobacteria; Rhodobacterales; Roseobacteraceae. The record is from RNAcentral.